CGGGGAUUAGCGCAGCGGUAGCGCGCCUGGUUUGGGACCAGGAGGUCGCGAGUUCGAAUCUCGCAUCCCCGA
Molecule: transfer RNA, 72 nt
Filed under: Candidatus Parcubacteria bacterium
Lineage: Bacteria; Candidatus Parcubacteria
Description: tRNA-Pro
Rfam family: tRNA
About the family: Transfer RNA (tRNA) molecules are approximately 80 nucleotides in length. Their secondary structure includes four short double-helical elements and three loops (D, anti-codon, and T loops).
Source: RNAcentral